GCGAGUUGUAAUCCUCCGUGGUCUCGGCGAUGAACUCCGAGACGGUGAUCUGGUCCGGCAUGAUCCGAUUCCAUAAUGAAUCUCUUGAAGAAAAACUUGAAAGCCUGGAAGCUGAAGAUCUCAUGUCUCAUCUGUCACGACCAGAAAACUACCGGGAUGUGCGUGGGCUGAAUUCCCAUGCCAGAUGUGCUCCUCAGACCUAAGGCCAUUAUUCCAUCUCAGACUAAAAAAUAUUCUCCCAUGGUUAGCUGGAAAAGACCAUGUUUCUUCAGGUUUUAUUUCCACCAAAAAGAAAAAGGUGAAAUAAAAUAAAAGUCAAAAGUAAAAAACGACAGAGAGGAAAUCCAGUGCACGGUGAGCCCAGAGUUCUGCAGGCUUAAGGGUGUUGCUCUGCAUCCAUAAAUGUCCUGACCGGUGAGCAGACACAGGCACUACAACUGGAAAGAGAGCAGGAAGGAAAGCCAACCAUGUGAGCAAAGUGAAAAAAAAAAAAAAAUG
RNAcentral lists this long non-coding RNA (498 nucleotides) under Gallus gallus (chicken). The record is from RNAcentral. Lineage: Eukaryota; Metazoa; Chordata; Aves; Galliformes; Phasianidae.